This 253-nucleotide ribosomal RNA is filed under the name uncultured bacterium. Its description in RNAcentral is "partial 16S ribosomal RNA". It matches the Rfam family "Bacterial small subunit ribosomal RNA", at positions 524 to 776 of the family's 1533-position model. RNAcentral also lists the same sequence under 1 other name. The record is from RNAcentral.
UACGUAGGGUGCAAGCGUUGUCCGGAAUUACUGGGCGUAAAGAGUUCGUAGGCGGUUUGUCGCGUCGUUUGUGAAAACUCACAGCUCAACUGUGAGCCUGCAGGCGAUACGGGCAGACUUGAGUACUGCAGGGGAGACUGGAAUUCCUGGUGUAGCGGUGAAAUGCGCAGAUAUCAGGAGGAACACCGGUGGCGAAGGCGGGUCUCUGGGCAGUAACUGACGCUGAGGAACGAAAGCGUGGGUAGCAAACAGG